GAAAUAGAACCUGAAACCCUGCACUUACAAGCUGUGGAAGCACAUUUCUUGUGUGACCGCGUACUUUUUGUAGAACGGGCCAACGAGUUACGUUAAGUAGCAAGGCUAAGCACUUAAGGUGCGGAGCCGUAGCGAAAGCGAGUUUUAACUGAGCGUUCAGUUACUUGACGUAGACCCGAAACCGGGCGACCUACCCAUGAGCAGGA
Molecule: ribosomal RNA, 206 nt
Filed under: Clostridioides difficile
Lineage: Bacteria; Bacillati; Bacillota; Clostridia; Peptostreptococcales; Peptostreptococcaceae
Description: partial 23S ribosomal RNA
Rfam family: Bacterial large subunit ribosomal RNA
Source: RNAcentral